UGGGGAAUAUUGCACAAUGGGCGAAAGCCUGAUGCAGCAACGCCGCGUGAGGGACGACGGCCUUCGGGUUGUAAACCUCUUUUAGCAAGGAAGAAGCGAAAGUGACGGUACUUGCAGAAAAAGCGCCGGCUAACUACGUGCCAGCAGCUGCGGUAAUACGUAGGGCGCAAGCGUUAUCCGGAAUUAUUGGGCGUAAAGAGCUCGUAGGCGGUUUGUCGCGUCUGCUGUGAAAACCCGAGGCUCAACCUCGGGCCUGCAGUGGGUACGGGCAGACUAGAGUGCGGUAGGGGAGAUUGGAACUCCUGGUGUAGCGGUGGAAUGCGCAGAUAUCAGGAAGAACACCGAUGGCGAAGGCAGAUCUCUGGGCCGUAACUGACGCUGAGGAGCGAAAGGGUGGGGAGCAAACAGGCUUGGAUGACCCUGGUAGUCCACCCCGUAAACGUUGGGAACUAGUUGUGGGGUCCAUUCCACGGAUUCCGUGACGCAGCUAACGCAUUAAGUUCCCCGCCUGGGGAGUACGGCCGCAAGGCUAAAACUGCAAAUGAAUUGACGGGGUCAUAGCUGUUUCCU
This 570-nucleotide ribosomal RNA is filed under the name uncultured bacterium. Its description in RNAcentral is "partial 16S ribosomal RNA". It matches the Rfam family "Bacterial small subunit ribosomal RNA", at positions 355 to 1375 of the family's 1533-position model. The record is from RNAcentral.